AUUUAGACUAAGAUGGUAUAAUUUAGUGAUUAAUAAUUGGAUUAUAAUUUUUAAUUAGUUUCCUGAAAUUAAAAAUUUGCCAUUCCCCAGACUAGGCUUAUUUAAGAUUCAAGCUUUAGAAAAGGAAGUGGUUAUAAAUGAGAAUAUAUAUUGAACUAUGCCAAAUUUCACUUUUUACUGAACCUCUUCAAAAUUUUGACAAUCUUAUAGAAGGACAAAGUGCAUAUAUAGAAUGCUUAAUUCCAAUCUAUAUUAAUCUAUACUUGAGCUAUAUCUGUCUGCUCAAGUUUGUCAAGAGGCCUAAUGGCUACAUAGAUAGCCUGCUUGGGAAUGCUGGUAUCAACCUAGUCUGAUAAGUUUCAGAACUUAAUCAUUAUAUAUGCUUCUUGAAAUGGAAAUCUGCCUGAUACUAUAGUAGCCUAAUUAGUUAAGAUGAGGCAUUCCUGAUUCUAUGUUCGAUUCUGAGUACUGGCAAAGUUUUUAUUUCAGGAAGUUAGUCGGGAAUUAUAGUCUAAUUAUUGAUUAC
Molecule: long non-coding RNA, 526 nt
Filed under: Androctonus crassicauda
Lineage: Eukaryota; Metazoa; Arthropoda; Arachnida; Scorpiones; Buthidae
Source: RNAcentral